This is an unclassified non-coding RNA of Callithrix jacchus (white-tufted-ear marmoset), 285 nucleotides long. It matches the Rfam family "Metazoan signal recognition particle RNA". From Rfam's summary of the family: The signal recognition particle (SRP) is a universally conserved ribonucleoprotein. It is involved in the co-translational targeting of proteins to membranes. Lineage: Eukaryota; Metazoa; Chordata; Mammalia; Primates; Cebidae. The record is from Ensembl.
GCCAGGCAUGGUGCCUGUGCCUGUAGUCCCAGCUACUUGGGAGGCUGAGGCUGGAGGAUCCUUUGAGUCCAUGAGUUCUGAGCUGUAGUGUGCUAUGCUGAUCAGGUUCAGUAUCAAUUUGGUGACCUUCCAGGAGUGGGGGACCACCAGGUUGCCUUAGAAGGGUGAACCAGCCCAGUUUGGAAAUGGAGCAGGUCAAAACUCCAGUGCUGAUCAGUAGUGGAAUCACACCUGUGAAUAGCCAUUACACUCCAGCCUGGGAAGCAUAGUGAGACCCUGUCUCUA